CUAAGUGUAAACUUCUUUUGAUACGCACUGUAUAAGUAACAACUUAUAUAAAUUAAGUUAUUAUUGUUAAUAUUGCAUUGAAUAUAACAAAAGGUAGAUAGAUGGUAGAUAAAACCGAAAAAAUAAUACUUAAUUCUUAACAUUAAUAAAGAUUAAAAUAAUAUUUGGACGAUGAAUGCAUUCUCAAAGCUUAAUAUAUGUAAAACAAAUUAUCAUCCUAUUAAAUCAGAAAUAUAUCUAUUGAUCACAGAAUUAAAGAAUUGCAUUAAUUUCUGCAAAAAAAUAAAAAAAACCUGUACAUUAUUUUGAGGUUAAAUUUUCAUCAACAGCUUGACAUGUGCUUUAAUGAUGUGCCGGAUUAAAUAAUAUAUGAGUUUGCGAGGUUGUUGCAAGUGUGUGCGUGUAUGAAAAGAGAGGGUGUGUGUGUGUGCAUAAGAGAAAGAGAGAGCGUGUGUGGGAGAGUGUGUGAGUGUGUGCUAGUGGUGGUAUUAUUUGAGUUGGAAUAUGUUUCACCUGAAGUGGGGUCCAUUUUCGAGGAGUGAGAGGGUUAGAGAAGGUGGGAGAGGGUGGUGAUGAGUGUGUGGGUGAGGGUGUCCAUCGGUCUUGUUAGAUGAAACCAUGGAAGACAUUCGUCAGUCUGGAUUGCCUGUCUUUGUGUGCAUAAAUGUGUACAUGUUUUGCGAGUGUGCGUGAUUGUGUAAAAGAGGUAUACGCAUGUGUGGGUGUGUAGAUGUGCGUGAGGGUGAGGGUGUGUAUGAGCGUGAGUUGUGUGCGUGUGUGGGUGUGCGUGUUUAUAUGAAAAUUGUGCUAUAGAGACUCACAAGAAGAAGGGAAGAAUGGGUCUGUGUGGGGUUGGUUGUCGAGUUAGGUGUGGGUGGGUGUUUGUGUUCAAGGGUACUGGGAUGUACAGGGUCUGUGUGGGGGUAGAUUUAUAUGUAUGAGGAGCGAGCCUGCAUUGGUAGAGUUUGUUUUGGAGCCGAGUAAAUAUGUGCUUCUUCAUAUUGUUCGGAAGUUUAAUGGAAGAAAGAUGGGGGAGAAGCUUGAGCUUAAAGAACAUCGAGCUUACUUCACAUUUUGUUUUUUAACGAUUAAAAUGCAUCAUGCAUGUUGGCCAUUGUUUAAACUCAACACUUUACCGAAAUCGCAGAUCUUAAGCAGACAAUGGCCUAAAAAAUAUUCGUGAAGUAUCCAUCGGACCUUUCUUUAAAAAAAAUAUUGUUUGAAAAUCAAUUGGUCACGGUGGCGACUGCGCGAUUGCCAAAUGCCAAACGCCGCUAAAACGCCAAAGUCAAGAGGUUUUGACCUAAAAUCGGUCGGGGUUUUGACAGGAAAUUACAAUGUCAUUGCGCAAUCAUCGCAACAACCAUUCAGACAUACUGUACUUCUAAAAAUAUACCUGUUGGUUCGUUAGUUCAAAUUGCAAAUCUGUCUGUCUAGACAGUGAGCUGUGACUAUGGUCCUGUAUGUGACCGGGCAGACUGUGUGGUAAAUGAGAAUUAGAUUUUCUGCCGAUGGUCUUUUUCAAAUCGUUUUAGAAAUGCAGUAUCCGUCCGAACAAUUGCCUGACGAGGUAAUCAAUUCCGCGAAAAAAAAAUGAGCAGGUGCCUCAAAAAUGUUAACUCGUAGACCAAUAUUUAGCAGUGACUGAAUGAUUACCUACAGAACAACAUUAACAUGGGGGGGGGCUCGUCACCCUGCUUUAAAACAUGAUUAUUGGGGAGGGGCUGGCAUUUAAAGUUGUCGAUGACUUGAAUUCGAUAUCGAUUUAUGUUUGAAUCUGUCUUUCAAACCAACCAACAAGAAGAAGAGUAAGUUGCAUUUCUGCUAGAUAAGGUCAAUAUCACCGCAUUUUUUAAAUUUUUGUGGCGGCAAUAAGAUCUUUCCCAUCCUCCAAUUAAAUAAAAUGGCCUUGCCAUAAAAAUGUAAAAGUAGUUCCUUAUAAUUAAAUAGUUUUUUUUUCAAAAUGUCGCAGGAUAGUGAUCUCAAAGAAAUCAUGGCAUACAAGAUAUGAUUUAAAGGCUGAGUUUCGAAAAGAGCAAAAGAUUGUUUAGAAACAGAAUUUUCAAUUUAGAAAAAGAAAUUGAAUAGGUGAGUACAUAUAUCUGUAUGUAAGUUAAAAAAGGAGCUUAGUAAUAUUCUAAGGUCUAACAAUAUUCUGUUCACUCUCUACUGACAAGGAAUUCUAAAUUGAAAUAUUUUUAUAUAAACAAUCAAACAGUGCGAGAUGAAAAGGAGUUUUUCAUCGUUAUCUGGAUAACUUGAAGUAGUCAUUAGAGGGUAUUUCAUCGUAGCUGUUAAGUAAAAAAAAGCUAGAGUUAUUCCAAACCAGAUGGGACUUUCACAAACUCAAUAAACUGAAAUUCUCGUCGAUGUCCUUGGGAAAUGCGCAAUAUGUAUGGUCUUUCAAAACAGCAAGGAGAGGGGUUUUUUAAGCUCUCUGGGUGAUGUAACUCAGAAAGUAUUCAUCCAAUCCUCACACAACACGUUCAUGAAGAUCUCCAAUCAAUACUUAACAAAGACACACUUUGAACUUUCAUAAAAAUGAAAAAUUUAUAAAAUACAUAGGCAACUUUAGAAACCCAACAAAACUUAUAGAAACUCGGAGGAGUGAUCAUCAAAUUUACGUAAAUACCAACGACCAACUGUUUGGACUGUUUUUCAUUUUCGCAGCCUAUAAUUUGAAAAGCUGAACAAAAAAAAAUUGGUUUUCAUAAAGAUAAAAGAUCUUCAUUAUAUAAAGACGUCUAGUCCGCCAUAUUUUCUUCGAAAUGCGGAGGCCUGUAUCAGGAGCUAGGGCAAACGAGAUGAGGCGACAUCUUCAUCGAAUAAAUCGAGGUAUUUUACUUUUGAUUUUCACUCUUGUGUUUACUUUAGGAUUUCAAGUGAUAAAUAAAGAGCAAAAGAUUCUCGGAUGCGGUAAGAUACAAUAGAAAACGUAAAUAUUAGGCGUCGUCUGCUUAUGCAAGUAUGAAUAUUGGCGAAGUAACUAAGUGCUAUAGUCUCUAGCCUAGCCUGUCAAGUAAAGUCUGUCUGAUUGAAGAGAAGUUUAUUAUUUGUAUUUCACCUUGUAUUAUGCAUGUGUAUGUGGGUGUGUGCGGGUGUGUGUUCGUGUGUUACGAGGACGCGUGGGUGUGUAUCAGCUAGAGAGUUUUGUGUGUGAGGGUGCGUAUGUGUGUGCAGGUUUCGAUAGGAAAAGAUGAUGUUUUUUUAACAAAUCAUUAUUGUGUAGGAAGGUUGUACCAAAACGCAAUAAAGUUCCAUCUUCUUUCCUGUGUUUCCCUAGGUAUUAUGUCUCAGCUGCCAAUCAUUUUGGUGAUGAUACUAGAUUCAUGUUCCAGAUUCUUACGGAAAAUAUUUCAGGGAAACAGACGAUUGCACCGGUUCUGAAACCACCUGACAUACCGAUUAAAAUAAAACCACUGGGGACAUGUUGCUGCGUCGUCAUAGCGGGGGGUUUCGUAGUCGGAAUCAUUCUGCUAAUCUUGUAUUUAACUGGCAACAUCUAAUACAUUGGGAAUAAUCGGAAUGUCAGAUCUGCAUCAUUACAGCGUCACUAGCCAAAGAAAUGAUGAAGAAGUGACCAAACAUACUCGCUCAAGUACGUUAUAUAGACAUCUAUUUAUGUUAUAAGGUAAAUCCAGCACUAUAUCAGAACACUACAUCCAUGUUAGCGAGGACUUCCAAAACCAUUAAAAAAUAAUCUACUACUCGGAACGACAAACUAAGAACACUUAUUUCGAUAUGACUGCUUUUAAAUUUAGAUUAGAGUUGCGAAAGACAAUUCAAAGGCUUAGGAUACAAGUCUUAUUCUGGCUAGGAGAACGGCUCAGAAGACUUGGAAGACUAAGGAUGUUGGGACCCCCACAACCCUUAUUUGCCAUUCAACUAGCAUCCAAUUGCAAUUAUGGUAUAUCGAGCAAUUUUUUUAAUACAAUAAGUGUAUUGUUCUUGUAAUAUUUUUUUUCUGGUAAAAUGUUAUGUAUCAGAUUGAACCUGCCUAUCAGAUGGCUGAAAUCCAUGGCUGAAAUAAAUGUUUUAAAUCUCUUUGACUUUGAAUACAGGAACGACACUAUGAUAACUUAACUUGAUUAUUUAACCAUUGAAAGUGAAGAAUUAAAUCAAUGCUGACUUUCCUCCAAAAUAACAUGACGUCUCAUCAUCAGUUAUAAAUGAAAUUCGAUAAAUAUCCCUUUUAAUAUUAGCUAUGAACUAAACUACCAAUGUUAUAUAGAACAUUGCUUGUAAAGGAAUUAUCUUGGAGAGUGAUAGUAAAUAAUCUAAGCCCUGACGAAUAUGAUACACAUUUAUUUAUGAAGAGCAAACAUCUCAAUGCCAAAAAGUGAAGAUAUCUUUUUAAAUGUGAACACUGUAUUUAAAGUAGUUAAAUUGAUCCUUUCUAUUUCAAACUAACAUUCCUAAUUACAUACAGUCCAGCAAUUAGUAGUUGGCAUUUAUUGAAUUUUCCGCCUUAUAAUUCUAAAUUAUGUACACCAGCAAAAAUGAAUGCCCUCCCCUACCCCAACACAUUGCGUUCCACUAAUAUUUCUAUGUAUAGUUUUGGUUAUAAUGAUUAGCAACAUAAUGUAUAUUUAUUCAAUACUUCCUUGUUUUCAAUGUGAUUUUCUUUUAACAAAUGAGCACCAAACAAACCGUUAUUUCCCCCAAAAUGUGUUAUGAUGUAAGAGAUAGAGGUCACACCUUGGAGGGAAGUUGUUGUUUAUUGACAUAUCUUUAUGGUAAAAAAAAUCAAACAAAGAUUAACAAUGUUGUGAUGAUGUAGAAUUUGUUAUCUAUUCCUAUAGACUUGAUCUGGUACAAGAGUCCAAUUUCGGAAGAACCAUUAAUGACCGGAAAAAAAAUUGAAAUGAAAAUGCGUUGCAUGAUUGUUUGAUACAAUGACAUAUCUCUUUUGCUGCAGAUAUUUGUCAAUUUUGCAAUGUGAUAAUGUUUGUUGAAUUGUCAACAUAUACAAUUUAUCUCAGUUUUGGUUAGAGUGUCCAAAUAUCAGAUAUUUAUUUCAAGGGAACUAAUAAUUACAUAUAAAAGGACCAGGGGUGUCGUAAGUGAUUUUCAGUUGAGGGAAUCUACCAAUUUUCUUAAUUCCGAAAUAGUUAUAAUUAUGUAUUGAAAAGUUAUGAAUCAUCAGGCUCUCUGUAGAAUGUGGUUGUUUUUAUCUUUAUUACAUCAAACAGGAAUUCGACCUCGGUAACUAGCUAAUCGUUUACAGCUAAACUAAAAACGCAAUGUUUAGGAAUCACUUCAAAUAAUUUUUGACCCAUGAACAGUUUAUAUACCUGUAGACUGUGAAGUAGUAUUACUUAUUUUUACUUGUAUUUUUAUAAGUUUCCGUUCGAUGUGUUUGUUCAGUGAAUAUCACACCCCGGAGGUUAAAUUAAAUUAUUACAAUCCCCUUA
Molecule: long non-coding RNA, 5414 nt
Organism: Lytechinus variegatus (green sea urchin)
Lineage: Eukaryota; Metazoa; Echinodermata; Echinoidea; Temnopleuroida; Toxopneustidae
Exons: 2
Source: RefSeq, a predicted model, not a curated record